UAGGCGCUUUGGGAACCUUUACUGUCAAAAUUUGAACACUGAGUGAGUUUAGGCACCUACAGGGUUAGGUGGUAGCUUAGUGGGGGUUUUGUGGAUCACAGUGGUUCCUAUAACUGGAAUAUAGGCACCUAAAUUUCAGAUUUAGGUGCAUAAAUCCCUCUGGAUGUGGGCCCGUGUCCAUUCAAUCCUGGGUUUCUCAGUGUUCUAGUAGUAUGAAUGUUCUCUGUAAGUGUUUUUGUUGUUUACAUUUAGGCAUCAUUAUGCUGAUUUUUCCAUCUCUCUUUUAGUUUGAGUAAUCCCAGGACCCGAUAAGAAAUGCAACCAAUGUGUUUCAUGCACAUUAAACGGUCAAUAGGAAGACGUACUUGCGCGUCUAGGGCCUAAUCCAGCUCCUAUUAAAAUCAAGAGAGAUGCCAAGGCUGAUCCUGAGCUGAUGUAAAUUGUCCAAGCUUCACUGACUUAAAAUCAACAAAAAAUCAACUGAUAGCUCUCUCUGAACUGUGGACAUGCCUUGAGAGACUAGGUUUCUGUGUUCUAACUAAGCUAGGACUGUAUAAUGGUUGCUCUCUUCCCAGUACAAGAGGAGUGAACAGUCUACUACACACAGCACACUCUCAAAGAGCCCACAGGUAAAUACUCAUGGAUCAUUAUGAUAUCUCUGUUUAUGUGGUCCCAACAUCAUUCCCACUCUUCUAGAGUCAGAGAGUUUUGAUUUUCCAUUUUGGUUCCAGACCUAUGUAAACA
This 744-nucleotide long non-coding RNA is filed under the name Chrysemys picta bellii (western painted turtle). Its description in RNAcentral is "lncRNA (ENSCPBG00000021847.1)". Lineage: Eukaryota; Metazoa; Chordata; Testudines; Emydidae. The record is from RNAcentral.